This 336-nucleotide long non-coding RNA is filed under the name Manihot esculenta (cassava). RNAcentral describes it as "long non-coding RNA (MESC_LNC009213)". Lineage: Eukaryota; Viridiplantae; Streptophyta; Magnoliopsida; Malpighiales; Euphorbiaceae. The record is from RNAcentral.
UCUUCUUUUGAAUCUGUGUGUCUGAGCUGGGGAUUUACACCCACGGUGCGUCUGUUUGUUACCUUCUUCAGGCUAGUCAAGGCGAGCCAAAAGUUUUACUACUUUGCCCCUCGCGGAGGGCUGUCAAAUUUUUCGGGCUAUAAGGACUCCAUCAAGGGCUGGGUAGAGGGUUUUGUUGUGGUGGAAUUGAAGAAAGAGACUGGGUUGGCUUGGGAGAUAGGACUCGACUGGGAGGAUGUCUCGUUGGGUUGUAACGACCUGCCCCAGUUGAGCCUUACCGAGCAGGUCGGGUUUGUUCGACUGACUUCUGUCGAAAAGAAGUAUGACGUCGAAAAG